Molecule: ribosomal RNA, 2465 nt
Filed under: Actinomadura physcomitrii
Lineage: Bacteria; Bacillati; Actinomycetota; Actinomycetes; Streptosporangiales; Thermomonosporaceae
Description: Actinomadura sp. LD22 partial 23S ribosomal RNA
Rfam family: Bacterial large subunit ribosomal RNA
Source: RNAcentral
UGUGUUGGUGAUGGCGUGCCUUUUGAAGAAUGAGCCUGCGAGUUAUGGUGUGUGGCGAGGUUAACCGGUGGCGGGUAGCCGUAGCGAAAGCGAGUCUGAAGAGGGCGUAAUAGUCGCAUGCUGUAGACCCGAAGCGGGGUGAUCUAGCCAUGGGCAGGGUGAAGCGCCGGUAAGACGGUGUGGAGGCCCGAACCCACCAGGGUUGAAAACCUGGGGGAUGACCUGUGGUUAGGGGUGAAAGGCCAAUCAAACUCCGUGAUAGCUGGUUCUCCCCGAAAUGCAUUUAGGUGCAGCGUCGCGUGUUUCUUGCCGGAGGUAGAGCUACUGGAUGGCUGAUGGGCCCUACCAGGUUACUGACGUCAGCCAAACUCCGAAUGCCGGUAAGUGAGAGCGUGGCAGUGAGACUGCGGGGGAUAAGCUUCGUAGUCGAGAGGGAAACAGCCCAGAUCAUCGGCUAAGGCCCCUAAGCGUGUGCUAAGUGGGAAAGGAUGUGGAGUUGCCGUGACAACCAGGAGGUUGGCUUAGAAGCAGCCAUCCUUGAAAGAGUGCGUAAUAGCUCACUGGUCAAGUGAUUCCGCGCCGACAAUGUAGCGGGGCUCAAGCACACCGCCGAAGCCGUGGCAUUCCAGCGUUUGUUGGGAUGGGUAGGGGAGCGUCCUGCAGCCGGUGAAGCCGCCGAGUGAUCGAGUGGUGGAGGCUGUGGGAGUGAGAAUGCAGGCAUGAGUAGCGAAUGGAGAGUGAGAAACUCUCCCGCCGGAUGACCAAGGGUUCCUGGGGCAGGCUAAUCCGCCCAGGGUAAGUCGGGACCUAAGGCGAGGCCGACAGGCGUAGUCGAUGGACAACGGGUUGAUAUUCCCGUACCCGCUGGUAUGCGCCAACGCUGAAUCCUCUGAUGCUAAGACCCCGAAUCCUGGUUGGGGCCUUCGGGCUUCUUUCAGGCCUAGCGGUCGACCCGAGGGGGUAGUAGGUGAGUGAUGGGGUGACGCAGGAGGGUAGCUCAGCCCAGGCGAUGGUUGUCCUGGGGUAAGCAUGUAGCCUGGUGUGCAGGUAAAUCCGCAUGCCGUUAAGGGUGAGAUGUGAUGCCGAGCCGUUUUAGGUGAAGUGAGUGAUCCCAUGCUGCCGAGAAAAGCCUCUAGCGAGUGUAUCGGCGGCCCGUACCCUAAACCGACUCAGGUGGUCAGGUAGAGAAUACCGAGGCGAUCGGGUGAACUGUGGUUAAGGAACUCGGCAAAUUGCCCCCGUAACUUUGGGAGAAGGGGGACCACGUCUGGUGAUCCGUUUUGCACGGGGAGCUGGGUGUGGUCGCAGAGGCCAGGGGGAAGCGACUGUUUACUAAAAACACAGGUCCGUGCGAAGUCGUAAGACGCUGUAUACGGACUGACGCCUGCCCGGUGCCGGAACGUUAAGAGGACCGGUUAGACUCUUCGGGGUCGAAGCUGAGAAUCUAAGCGCCGGUAAACGGCGGUGGUAACUAUAACCAUCCUAAGGUAGCGAAAUUCCUUGUCGGGUAAGUUCCGACCUGCACGAAUGGCGUAACGACUUCCCCGCUGUCUCAACCACAGGCCCGGUGAAAUUGCAGUACGAGUAAAGAUGCUCGUUUCGCGCAGCAGGACGGAAAGACCCCGGGACCUUCACUAUAGCUUGGCAUUGGCGUUUGGAACGGUUUGUGUAGGAUAGGUGGGAGACUGUGAAGCCCGCACGCCAGUGUGGGUGGAGUCGUUGGUGAAAUACCACUCUGGUCGUUUUGAGCGUCUAACCCGCGCCCGUGUAUCCGGGUGGGGGACAGUGCCUGGUGGGUAGUUUAACUGGGGCGGUUGCCUCCUAAAGGGUAACGGAGGCGCCCAAAGGUUCCCUCAGCCUGGUUGGCAAUCAGGUGGCGAGUGCAAGGGCACAAGGGAGCUUGACUGUGAGACGGACGUGUCGAGCAGGUGCGAAAGCAGGGCCUAGUGAUCCGGCAUCUACGUGUGGAAGUGGUGUCGCUCAACGGCUAAAAGGUACCCCGGGGAUAACAGGCUGAUCUUCCCCAAGAGUCCAUAUCGACGGGAUGGUUUGGCACCUCGAUGUCGGCUCGUCGCAUCCUGGGGCUGGAGUAGGUCCCAAGGGUUGGGCUGUUCGCCCAUUAAAGCGGCACGCGAGCUGGGUUUAGAACGUCGCGAGACAGUUCGGUCCCUAUCCGCUGCGCGCGUAGGAGAAUUGAGAGGGUCUGUCCCUAGUACGAGAGGACCGGGACGGACGAACCUCUGGUGUGCCAGUUGUCCCGCCAGGGGCACGGCUGGUUGGCUACGUUCGGUCGGGAUAACCGCUGAAAGCAUCUAAGCGGGAAGCCUUCCUCGAGAUGAGUUCUCCCUCCCUGCCUUUGGUGGGGGUAAGGCUCCCAAUAGACGAUUGGGUUGAUAGGCCGGGUAUGGAAGCGCGGUAACGUGUGGAGUUGACCGGUACUAAUAGGCCGAGUGGCUUGAACACAC